CCCCAGCUAGCUGAGUUGGUAGAGCAUGAGACUCUUAAUCUCAGGGUUGUGGGUUCAUGCCCCACAUUGGGCG
Molecule: transfer RNA, 73 nt
Filed under: Cricetulus griseus (Chinese hamster)
Lineage: Eukaryota; Metazoa; Chordata; Mammalia; Rodentia; Cricetidae
Rfam family: tRNA
About the family: Transfer RNA (tRNA) molecules are approximately 80 nucleotides in length. Their secondary structure includes four short double-helical elements and three loops (D, anti-codon, and T loops).
Source: Rfam by way of RNAcentral